This 31-nucleotide non-coding RNA is filed under the name Homo sapiens (human). The record is from RNAcentral. Lineage: Eukaryota; Metazoa; Chordata; Mammalia; Primates; Hominidae.
UGAUGAGAGUAAAAUGCCUACAAGGGGCAGA